GAAUGCUGACAUAAGUAACGAUAAAGCGGGUGAAAAGCCCGCUCGCCGGAAGACCAAGGGUUCCUGUCCAACGUUAAUCGGGGCAGGGUGAGUCGACCCCUAAGGCGAGGCCGAAAGGCGUAGUCGAUGGGAAACGGGUUAAUAUUCCCGUACUUGGUGUUACUGCGAAGGGGGGACGGAGAAGGCUAUGUUGGCCGGGCGACGGUUGUCCCGGUUUAAGCGUGUAGGUGUGUGUUCCAGGUAAAUCCGGUUCACUUUAACACUGAGGCGUGACGACGAGGCACUACGGUGCUGAAGCAACAAAUGCCCUGCUUCCAGGAAAAGCCUCUAAGCAUCAGGUAACAUCAAAUCGUACCCCAAACCGACACAGGUGGUCAGGUAGAGAAUACCAAGGCGCUUGAGAGAACUCGGGUGAAGGAACUAGGCAAAAUGGUGCCGUAACUUCGGGAGAAGGCACGCUGACACGUAGGUGAAGUGAUUUACUCAUGGAGCUGAAGUCAGUCGAAGAUACCAGCUGGCUGCAACUGUUUAUUAAAAACACAGCACUGUGCAAACACGAAAGUGGACGUAUACGGUGUGACGCCUGCCCGGUGCCGGAAGGUUAAUUGAUGGGGUCAGCGCAAGCGAAGCUCCUGAUCGAAGCCCCGGUAAACGGCGGCCGUAACUAUAACGGUCCUAAGGUAGCGAAAUUCCUUGUCGGGUAAGUUCCGACCUGCACGAAUGGCGUAAUGAUGGCCAGGCUGUCUCCACCCGAGACUCAGUGAAAUUGAACUCGCUGUGAAGAUGCAGUGUACCCGCGGCAAGACGGAAAGACCCCGUGAACCUUUACUAUAGCUUGACACUGAACAUUGAGCCUUGAUGUGUAGGAUAGGUGGGAGGCUUUGAAGUGUGGACGCCAGUCUGCAUGGAGCCGACCUUGAAAUACCACCCUUUAAUGUUUGAUGUUCUAACGUGGACCCGUAAUCCGGGUUGCGGACAGUGUCUGGUGGGUAGUUUGACUGGGGCGGUCUCCUCCUAAAGAGUAACGGAGGAGCACGAAGGUUGGCUAAUCCUGGUCGGACAUCAGGAGGUUAGUGCAAUGGCAUAAGCCAGCUUGACUGCGAGCGUGACGGCGCGAGCAGGUGCGAAAGCAGGUCAUAGUGAUCCGGUGGUUCUGAAUGGAAGGGCCAUCGCUCAACGGAUAAAAGGUACUCCGGGGAUAACAGGCUGAUACCGCCCAAGAGUUCAUAUCGACGGCGGUGUUUGGCACCUCGAUGUCGGCUCAUCACAUCCUGGGGCUGAAGUAGGUCCCAAGGGUAUGGCUGUUCGCCAUUUAAAGUGGUACGCGAGCUGGGUUUAGAACGUCGUGAGACAGUUCGGUCCCUAUCUGCCGUGGGCGCUGGAGAACUGAGGGGGGCUGCUCCUAGUACGAGAGGACCGGAGUGGACGCAUCACUGGUGUUCGGGUUGUCAUGCCAAUGGCACUGCCCGGUAGCUAAAUGCGGAAGAGAUAAGUGCUGAAAGCAUCUAAGCACGAAACUUGCCCCGAGAUGAGUUCUC
Molecule: ribosomal RNA, 1538 nt
Filed under: Salmonella enterica
Lineage: Bacteria; Pseudomonadati; Pseudomonadota; Gammaproteobacteria; Enterobacterales; Enterobacteriaceae
Description: partial 23S ribosomal RNA
Rfam family: Bacterial large subunit ribosomal RNA
Source: RNAcentral